UCCCUGUUAAUUAUGUCAAAUAUACCUUAAGUACACAUGUACAUUUAGAAAAAUGCUCGCGUUAAAAGGUAGACUCAGUGAAAUGAUGUUGCCACGAGCAGAACCGCAGAUAUCGAUAUGCAAGACUUCGCUCUCACACAGUCACACAUGGUAUCGUCCCAUGUGCACGGGUUCGCUUCAUGUAAUUCCAGCGUGAUUGCCACACGACUAAAACAGAGGAGAAGUUGAACCUCGCGCUUCAAAGUUUUUGAGGGAUUUGACCCACUAUGUUUACUUUUUGCAUCUACGUCAUAUCGCUGAGUCUAUAACUAAAAUAAAACGUAGAAAAAGGCAACAAAGAUAUUAUUUUACUUCUUCAUGGUCUAAAAAUUCAAAAGGCAAUCGCACAUCUGAGCUAUCUUUGUUGCAGAUGCACGGUAACAGAUGAAUACUCCAACCCCAUUCCAUGCAUUGAACGGAUGUGGGUGGAGCAAUGUCUACAUAAGGGUGCAAAAUAAAAAACACUCACAAAAGCUCUGACGAAGGCCUUAAGGCCGAUACGUAAAGCUUAAUAACGAGCAGUGAUACGAGCAAGGGAAGUGUGCAGGUUUCUUAUUUUCUCUCACUUCUUCACGGUCUCUCAGUAGUUGGUUCGUCGAAGAUGUGUUUCACAAACUGAGGCAAUGUUCAAUGAGUGGUUUAUCUCCCCAUCUUGUCAGCAGCAGACAAACAACUUAAAACAAACAAGUCUUGUCUUGUAUAAAUUUGAAUCGGUAACAGAGUUGAACCGGUGAGUUGGAAUCAGUGACGGUUGUAUGAAGUCAUGAAAUCCAAUCACAUGCUUACAGGGGAGAGAAAAUAAUUGUACAUGUUUACAACAACCCAAAAUCAUCAAUAAAACCAACAGAAUCCAAUCCAGUGUAUAAUUAAGCAAUAAGGCCUGAGGGGGUGUGGUAUAUGGCCAAUAUACCGCGGCUAAAGGCUGCUCUUAAGCACGUCGCAACACAAGAGUUUGACCUGUUUUCUAUUGAUAGUUCUUUGUAUAUCUCCAUAAAAAUUAUGCUGAUUCAUGAUUUCGACUGGCUAAGAAAUACUGCCUGCCUGUCUGUCUCAUCCCGACUCCGGCCACGUUCAUUACUAUGCAACAGCUGGAGAUCGAAUUUCAAUAUUGAAACAAUGUUGCAAAUGUCGGAGAGACAGACAGCAAGGUUUGUACAACUCUCUGCUGUUUAAAAAUAAAUGUAAGUCUAAAAGAAAUGUGAGAUAAUGACUAGAUGCUUUUUAUAGUGGAGAUCAAGUUCAUAAAUUGCCUGGCUGGGCUGAUGAGACAGUGGAUUGCAGCAGUCAGAUGGAACAGAGUAAAUACUAGGCAUUUUAACUUCAUAGAUUUAGCCAGUGGUAACUUGUGGAAUAGACACCGGCUGGAAUGCGGUUUUAACCAAUCAGCAUUCAGGAUUAGACCCACCCGUUGUAUAAUGUUUUACACAAUGGGUGGGUCUAAUGCUGAUCGACUUCUUCUCGGGCCUAACAACACCCGUGCCAAUUUACCCUCCAAACACCGGCUUCUCGGGCAUUAUCACUUUAGUAUACCACGGGUAUGACAAAACAUUUAUUUUUACAGCUCUAAUUACAUUGGUAACCAGUUUAUAAUAGCUAUAAGACACCUCGGGGGUUUGUGGUAUAUGGCCAUAUAUACCACGGCUAAGGGCUGUAUCCAGGCGUUGCAUCGUGCAUAAGAACAGCCCUUAGCCGUGGUAUAUUGGCCAUAUACCACACCCCCUCGGGCCUUAUUGCUUAAAUAAAAACAGUCUGGAAUGCGGUUUUAACCAAUCAGCAUCCAGGAUUAGACCCGCCUGUUGUAUAAAAAAACCAUAGAAACCGGAGUGUAUAAAACAAACACAGAAAACACCUGUCCAUUUAAAACAACAAAGUCAGUGUCUAAAGCACCACUAGAAUAAUCAUCCGUGGUAGUUAGACCCAGGGAGGUCCUGGUCCUGGAGCUGCUCAGGGACCCAAGGCAGGGAUGUGGACCCAAUAGCCUACUCUGUGACAGGGAGGGCUGGGGAGGAUGACUGGGCCGUGUCCCGGGGGGACAGGAACUCUCCGUGUCCUGGAGGGAAUGGCUGUAUGGAUGGGGUGCAAUCCCCUGGGUGAGUGGAUAGCGAGUGUACGGGAGGGGCUGGGGUUUGAACCCGAUAGGGUUAGUGGGAAAGAGGUGUGGGCCAGGGUUGGUUCUGAUCCCAUCAGAAACAAACUCGGUAAGGGUCACGGUUCAUUCUGUGGCCCUCUGGGUAAGGACCAGGGUGUGUCUCGUAACCCUGCGGACCUGUUCUAUAGGUGUCAGGGGUCAGCUGUUUGGCUCUGUAGGACCACGCUCCUCUGAACUCUGACCUCUGAACUCACACAACUGCACCUGCUAUGUCACCCAUACGAAUGCUCAUGUCUCCUCUGUGAAGGAAUGGCCCUGCCUGAUCCCUAUGAAGUGCUAUGUCAUGUCUGAGAGCUGCUGUGUCAACCUGAGCUUCUGUAAACCCCUGCGCCUGGUUCCGUUGUGGAGGCUGGCCUUGAAAAUACUGUUGGUGGUGAAAGCCAGAGUUUACCUCCCUCUCUCUCAGCUUUCCUCCCCCAUGACCCCCAUUUCUCCCCCUCCAACUCCUUCCUGAGUUUCAGCUCUGCAUUGUUCCUCUUUCUCCAUCAACUAACAGUCAGUUAGCCUCGCUCCUGUAGCAUACAGUUGUCCCUUCUCCUGUUUGGUACAUUCUGUCAGUUGAUCUUUCUCCUGUUUGGUACAUUCUGUCAGUUGUCCCUUCUCCUGUUUGGUACAUUCUGUCAGUUGUCCCUUCUCCUGUUUGGUACAUUCUGUCAGUUGUCCCUUCUCCUGUUUGGUACAUUCUGUCAGUUGAUCUUUCUCCUGUUUGGUACAUUCUGUCAGUUGUCCCUUCUCCUGUUUGGUACAUUCUGUCAGUUGAUCUUUCUCCUGUUUGGUACAUUCUGUCAGUUGAUCUUUCUCCUGUUUGGUACAUUCUGUCAGUUGAUCUUUCUCCUGUUUGGUACAUUCUGUCAGUUGAUCUUUCUCCUGUUUGGUACAUUCUGUCAGUUGAUCUGACAGAAUGUGGGAUGGGUGUGGGAUGGGGCUGGGUGGAGGCAUCUAUGGUGGGGAGUGAAGGGGUAAGGAGUGUGAAAGGGAGGUUUCCAGGCUGAAGGAGUUCCUCUCCAGCAGCAGGGGACCGUCAGUCAUAGACAGAAUCACCUUGAACACCGGCUCACAGCGAAUCACCUUCGAUGCAACCCCCUGUAGUCCCGCCUCCUCAGAACCACCCAGUGAUGUCUGACCUCCAUCUGUGACAUAAUCAGGGGUCGGUGAAAGAGAGGGGUCAUGCUGCCAUGGUAACGCUGACGCAGGACACUUUAGUGAAGCACCUUUAGUGAGAGAGGAGAGAGAGAGAAAGAGAGGAGGGGACAACGAGAGAGGGAAUGCAACAAAGAGGGAGACGGAGAGAAAGAGAGAGGACACACAGAGAAGAAUGAUAAAUGACAGUAGAGUGUGAGAUGAACAGAUGAAGACAUUUUACAGGACAACCAUUAAUGGACAGUUUUCUUGUAAAAGACCCACCUACCCCCAAUAGACAACAGCAACCUGAUUAGAAACAUGUAGCAGGGAAUGAUUCAGAGAUAGAAGGAAGUAACAUUAAAAAAUGAAUUAAGCCAACUGUCAAAUAGGCCUUUCCCACACGGUGGUGCCCAAACCAGACUUUAACCACCAGAACAAAGUUUGCGUAUCAUCCCAUGAGGUUACACAUAAACUGAAGCUGGAGACUCAUAUCUCCCUUACUAGCUUUGAGCACCAGCUGUCAGAGCAGCUCACAGAUCACUGCACCUGUACAUAGCCCAUCUGCAAAUAGCCCAUCCAACUACCUCAUCCCCAUACUGUUAUUUAUUUUAUUUAUUUUGCUCCUUUGCACCCCAGUAUCUCUACUUGCACAUUCAUCUUCUGCACAUCUAUCACUCCAGUGUUUAAUUGGUAUAUUGUAAUUACUUCGCCACCAUGGCCUA
This 4032-nucleotide long non-coding RNA is filed under the name Salmo salar (Atlantic salmon). RNAcentral's name for it is "lncRNA (ENSSSAG00000103593.1)". Lineage: Eukaryota; Metazoa; Chordata; Actinopteri; Salmoniformes; Salmonidae. The record is from RNAcentral.